RNAcentral lists this long non-coding RNA (1349 nucleotides) under Taeniopygia guttata (zebra finch). RNAcentral describes it as "lncRNA (ENSTGUG00000019801.1)". Lineage: Eukaryota; Metazoa; Chordata; Aves; Passeriformes; Estrildidae. The record is from RNAcentral.
AGGACAGUUGCAAAAAGAAAAAAAAAAAACAAACCACCAAACAAAAACAAACAAAGAAAAAAAAAGACACAAAACCAGAUCACACACAGAGAGACAAAAAUCCACGCGGAAAAAGAACCUGUUGCGUUUCCAGUUCCCCUGCCGUCGGAGGGCGGUGCGGGCACGUCUCUCGGCGGGCGGGCACAGCGCUGCGCGCCGCGGGGGCGGUCGGGGCGGUCGCCCCCGGCCCCGGAGACCGGCCGGCCUUUGCACUCCGUCGCACUGCCACGGACUGCGCCCCGGCGGAGCGGCCGGCCGGCGGAGGAGCUGGGAAAGGGCGCUGCGCUCCUCAGCCGGCGGAGGAGCUCUUCUUCCUCUUCCUCCUUCCUCCUCCUCAGGAGAAAGGCGGCCCAUCUCCGCACCUCGCUGCCGCCGCGGCCCUUCAGAGACUGGCGUUCAUCACCUGUGGACAGUUAGUUUCCCGAUGUCUGUGGAGAUGCUGAAGUUAAGCUAUGCUGUACUCAAAGAAGUCCCUGGAGCCCCGUCUACCUUCUAUCUCCCCGUGCCUCUCCCUCCCCUCAAUCCAAGCUUUUCCUCUCGUUUCCAUCAUAGAAUGCUUCCAAUCUUUUUUGUUGUUGUUGUUUUUUUGGGGGUUUUUUUUGUGAAUUUUUUUUAUGAUAAGAAAAUCUAUUUGUAUCUAUCCUAACCCCGUUGGGGAUAUAUUAAGCUAUUUUUGUACAUAAGAGAGAGAUUUAUAGAGGUUUUGUACAAAUGGUUUAAAAUGUGUAUAUCUUGAUACUUUUUUUAAUAUGUAAUGCUUAUUACCUCUUCAUGUUUAGACUCGUAGUCAACGUUACCUUACAACUGCCAUUUUUGUAUGUGGUUUUGUAAAGGACUUGGAUUUUCUCCAGAUGUACUUUAGCACCAAUGUGUCUUACUUUAUAGAAAUUUUGUUAAUGUAUUAAUAAUGUCAUUAAACAAUGUUCAAAGUGAACAAAGUUUAUGCAGCUAUUGUCCAAACGCAAAACGGUAGCCAUUUGUUCUCAUAUGCUGCCUUUUGUGAAAAAAGAAAAAAAAAAAAAAAAAAAAAAACCAGACAAGUAAACAAACAACCCCCACCACCACCACUGCCUUUUCUUACUUUUUUAUUACAAAUUGACAAAGGUCCUGUAUAACCCUAUUUUAUAUAAACUAGUUUCGUAAUAAAACUUUUUUUUAAUUAAAAUUACCAGCUGCCUCCCGCAUGCAAUUUUUUUUCUUUCUGCCAUUGACAACGAUGAAUGUAAGGACAGAAUGUUAAUCGAUGUUAUACCAGAGCUAAGUUGCAUAUGAAGUGUUUGUACCUGAUGGAUGUAACAUAUAUAUCUUUA